GGACGAACGCUGGCGGCGUGCUUACCCCAUGCAAGUCGAACGGAAAGGCCUUUUCGGAGGUACUCGAGUGGCGAACGGGUGAGUAACACGUGGGUGAUCUGCCCUGCACUCUGGGAUAAGCCUGGGAAACUGGGUCUAAUACCGGAUAGGACCGCACUUUAGUGUGUGUGGUGGAAAGUUUUUUCGGUGUAGGAUGAGCCCGCGGCCUAUCAGCUUGUUGGUGGGGUAAUGGCCUACCAAGGCGGCGACGGGUAGCCGGACUGAGAGGUUGGUCGGCCACAUUGGGACUGAGAUACGGCCCAGACUCCUACGGGAGGCAGCAGUGGGGAAUAUUGCACAAUGGGCGCAAGCCUGAUGCAGCGACGCCGCGUGGGGGAUGACGGCCUUCGGGUUGUAAACUCCUUUCGCCAGGGACGAAGCGUUUUGUGACGGUACCUGGAGAAGAAGCACCGGCUAACUACGUG
Molecule: ribosomal RNA, 464 nt
Filed under: uncultured bacterium
Lineage: Bacteria
Description: partial 16S ribosomal RNA
Rfam family: Bacterial small subunit ribosomal RNA
Source: RNAcentral